Molecule: ribosomal RNA, 486 nt
Filed under: uncultured bacterium
Lineage: Bacteria
Description: partial 16S ribosomal RNA
Rfam family: Bacterial small subunit ribosomal RNA
Source: RNAcentral
AUUGAACGCUGGCGGCAUGCCUUACACAUGCAAGUCGAACGGCAGCACGGGUGCUUGCCCCUGGUGGCGAGUGGCGAACGGGUGAGUAAUACAUCGGAACAUGUCCUGUAGUGGGGGAUAGCCCGGCGAAAGCCGGAUUAAUACCGCAUACGAUCUACGGAUGAAAGCGGGGGACCUUCGGGCCUCGCGCUAUAGGGUUGGCCGAUGGCUGAUUAGCUCGUUGGUGGGGUAAAGGCCUACCAAGGCGACGAUCAGUAGCUGGUCUGAGAGGACGACCAGCCACACUGGGACGGAGACACGGCCCAGACGCCUACGGGAGGCAGCAGUGGGGAAUUUUGGACAAUGGGCGAAAGCCUGAUCCAGCAAUGCCGCGUGUGUGAAGAAGGCCUUCGGGUUGUAAAGCACUUUUGUCCGGAAAGAAAUGCUUGGCCCUAAUACGGUCGGGGGAUGACGGUACCGGAAGAAUAAGCACCGGCUAACUACGUG